UACGUAGGGUGCGAGCGUUGUCCGGAAGUAUUGGGCGUAAAGAGCUCGUAGGCGGUCUGUCGCGUCGGUCGUGAAAACUUGGGGCUUAACCCUGAGCUUGCGGUCGAUACGGGCAUGACUGGAGUUCGGUAGGGGAGACUGGAAUUCCUGGUGUAGCGGUGAAAUGCGCAGAUAUCAGGAGGAACACCGGUGGCGAAGGCGGGUCUCUGGGCCGAUACUGACGCUGAGGAGCGAAAGCGUGGGGAGCAAACAGG
This 254-nucleotide ribosomal RNA is filed under the name uncultured bacterium. RNAcentral describes it as "partial 16S ribosomal RNA". It matches the Rfam family "Bacterial small subunit ribosomal RNA", at positions 524 to 776 of the family's 1533-position model. The record is from RNAcentral.